Small nucleolar RNA from Caenorhabditis elegans, 170 nucleotides. The record is from Ensembl. NCBI's taxonomy places the organism in Eukaryota, Metazoa, Nematoda, Chromadorea, Rhabditida, Rhabditidae.
ACAUUUAUGAUUAAAUUUUUCGAUUUCCAGAAUUGAAAACCUUGCUUAAAAAUGUGUCCGGUUUCCACUAACACAAUAGGUAAAUUGUCCAAUUUUUUUAAAACUUCCUGGAGUUUUUGUGCUUCAGUGUUGGCUCCCAGUAGGCUUAGCCACUGUUACUAAUAUCAAAC